Molecule: long non-coding RNA, 1521 nt
Filed under: Mus spicilegus (steppe mouse)
Lineage: Eukaryota; Metazoa; Chordata; Mammalia; Rodentia; Muridae
Description: lncRNA (ENSMSIG00000024521.1)
Source: RNAcentral
UUUGUGAGAGAUUUAUUGGGAGAAAGAGAGAAGGGAUGGUGGCAGCAGAAAGAGAAGGGGGAAAGAGAGAGAGAGGGAGGGGUUAUUCCCCUUAUUUAUAUGGAAAAUGAUGUAAGGCAGAUAAAGGUGGUGGUGAGCCAAGUGGAUUCUAGGAAUAUGGUGCCUGUUGUCUUGGCAACAGGUCUGCAUGUCAUGCUGUUGCCUAUGUGAUGUCAUAGGUUUGGGAGAUUCUGAUGCCUACAGGAUGCACUUAUCAUUUUCCCCAGUACAAAGACCAUCAUGCAAUACCAGAAUGGUACCCAGCAAGAUGCUGAUGGAGCACUUACACCUGUGAGUCAAGGGUCAGACUCAAAAGCAGACACAGAAAGAAAGAAACACAGAUCUUCUAAAGAAGAAAGCACCAUCAGUAAGGACAGUAUUCCAGUUUUAGAUGAAGUGCAAGACAAAACCUUUGAACAUCAAGAGUCAGGAUUAAGAUUAGAAGUUCAGGCAAAGAAACUAACGUUCAGCCCUCAAAAUAUUCACAAUAAAGAAUCAGCUACAGAUAUUAAAGUGGAGUAUCAAAAUGUACCAUCAAGCUCCCAAGUCCAGUUAAAGAAGCAAAAGCCUUUGGGAGGAGAAAUAUUUACUACUCAUUUUGUAGUACCAGCGGAAAGUCAUGCACAAUUAUAUCAAACGUAUACACCAGAAAUACAAAUAGAAAGAGGAACAACUUCUGGCACUGCAAGACUCACUACAAUUCCUGUAGAACACCCUAAAAAGGAAGCAUCACCGGACAAUCUAUUUCCUGAGAAGAAACUUUAUAUAACUAGAGCCCCGACUCAGACCAAGAAACAGUACCCUCCUUGGGACACUAAUGCAGAGACUCAGAAAAAAACAGUCAAAGAAGUUCAGGGGAUAUCAGAACCUCAGACAAAACUGAACCCAACGAUGAGUGGCAUCAUAUUACACUUGGACAUGGACAGAGUGGUUGAGACUGACCUAGAAAACUUGGAAGAGACCAUUGUACCACAUGUAUUAAGAAGUGAACUUGAGAUUGGCACAGAUGCAAAAAAUAUGCCUGAAACACCCACAUCAAGGGAAGCAGUGAGAACAGAGGCAAAGGGUAAUCAAGAUGUGACUAUUUCCAUCGCUAAAGGCAUGAAACUAAUUGGAAAACUGAAAGAUCAACAUGGUUUGAGUUCAUUUGCAAGUAAAGAUACCAUUAGUCCAGGGAAGAGCCUGAUAAAGUCAUCCAGAGACAAUCAAGAUGACAGUUUAUUGGAAACCAAACCUCAAGAAAAUACAAGUGACAAGUACCACCCAUCAAAGACAUUUCCAACAAAAGUGAUCAACAUGUUACCCUUCUCUGGUAAAGGUACGAGAGGGUACACAAAGACAAACAACAAGGUCUAGUAGCCUAAAACAGCCCAGAAGUGUGCCUUUUCACUCAUCUUCUUUGCACUGCCCUUUUUUUUAAUGCUUUUUUUAAAAAAAUUUUUAAUUAGGUAUUUUCUUCAUUUACAUUUCCAAUGCUAUCCC